RNAcentral lists this unclassified non-coding RNA (636 nucleotides) under Hevea brasiliensis (rubber tree). The record is from RNAcentral. Lineage: Eukaryota; Viridiplantae; Streptophyta; Magnoliopsida; Malpighiales; Euphorbiaceae.
GCAUUCAACUCUUCCGAUCCAAAAAUAUCUUGAACUGAUGGCUGUUGCCCUGAAUUUGUCUCUUGUUUUUGUGUUCUCUUAAGAUCACCUGCUUUAUUUCCUGAUUUUGUCUCCUUCUUUUGUGUUUCUUGAAGAGGACCUGCUUCAAAUUGUUCAUCUGAAUCUACCGUUGCUGAACUGUCAACACUACCAGUCUGCUCAAACCUCUUGUUCAGUUCCUGGCUCCUGCUGCGUAAUUCCUCUUCUGAAAUCCUCAAUGGAUGAUCAAACCCAUUACUCCCCAUUUGAUCAGAUGGACAGCUCCAACCACCCAACCACACCAGAUCAAUAACUUCAACAGCCUCUGAUAUAAAUUCCUGAUACAAAGUCCUCCACUUUUGCCUAAGUUUAGUACACUAGUGAUGACCGAAUUUGAUGGUGGAAAAACAGGAAGACUCUUUUGUACUUGAAAAAAAUCGAAGAUAGAGACUUUAAGAGAAUUGAAACAGCAGGUUGAAGGAGUGAUGAUCACAACUGGUGAGUGAGUCCUUCCGUUCUCUAUGUUAGAGGUUCGAGAGACAGAGUCAGGCGAGAAACCUUAAUUAAUGAAAGGAGCAAAGGCGACGACGAGAAAGUUGCGAGUUUAGAGGAGAAAAG